This 543-nucleotide ribosomal RNA is filed under the name Triticum aestivum (bread wheat). RNAcentral's name for it is "partial small subunit ribosomal RNA". Lineage: Eukaryota; Viridiplantae; Streptophyta; Magnoliopsida; Poales; Poaceae. The record is from RNAcentral.
AUGCAGCAUAUGGCCACAUCCUACUUUAAGGAGGUGUAUACCAAGGACCCAACUUUGACGCCGGAGAGUGUCUUGGAGGUUAUUGCACCGAAGGUUACUCAAGGUAUGAACGAUCUACUUUGUGCACCCUUCUCGAAGGAGGAGGUUUCUAAUGCUCUUUUUCAAAUCGGUCCGCUUAAAGCGCCAGGAACAGACGGUCUCUCGGCUAGAUUUUUCCAAAGGAAUUGGGCCGUGAUGAAAUCUGAAAUUAUAGCUGCGGUUUUGGAGUUCUUUAAGACAGGAAUUAUGCCUGAUGGGGUGAAUGACACGGCUAUUGUUCUUAUUCCGAAAAUUCCUUUCCCAAAGGAACUUAAGGAUUUUAGACCGAUAAGCCUAUGUAACGUUAUCUAUAAGAUCGUUUCAAAGUGCUUGGUGACCAGGCUACGGCUGAUGCUUGCGGAGUUAAUAUCAGAGAAUCAGAGUGCCUUUGUCCCAGGAAGGCUUAUCUCUGACAAUUCUAUAAUUGCUUUUGAAUGCCUUCAUCAUAUACAACCGUUGAAAUAG